This 435-nucleotide ribosomal RNA is filed under the name uncultured Roseburia sp. RNAcentral's name for it is "partial 16S ribosomal RNA". It matches the Rfam family "Bacterial small subunit ribosomal RNA", at positions 341 to 792 of the family's 1533-position model. The record is from RNAcentral. Lineage: Bacteria; Bacillati; Bacillota; Clostridia; Lachnospirales; Lachnospiraceae.
ACGGGAGGCAGCAGUGGGGAAUAUUGCACAAUGGGCGAAAGCCUGACGCAGCGACGCCGCGUGAGUGAAGAAGUAUUUCGGUAUGUAAAGCUCUAUCAGCAGGGAAGAAAAAUGACGGUACCUGACUAAGAAGCACCGGCUAAAUACGUGCCAGCAGCCGCGGUAAUACGUAUGGUGCAAGCGUUAUCCGGAUUUACUGGGUGUAAAGGGAGCGCAGGCGGUACGGCAAGUCUGAUGUGAAAGCCCGGGGCUCAACCCCGGUACUGCAUUGGAAACUGUCGAACUAGAGUGUCGGAGGGGUAAGCGGAGUUCCUAGUGUAGCGGUGAAAUGCGUAGAUAUUAGGAGGAACACCAGUGGCGAAGGCGGCUUACUGGACGAUAACUGACGCUGAGGCUCGAAAGCGUGGGGAGCAAACAGGAUUAGAUACCCUGGUA